This 502-nucleotide ribosomal RNA is filed under the name uncultured Acidobacteriota bacterium. Its description in RNAcentral is "bacterial SSU rRNA". It matches the Rfam family "Bacterial small subunit ribosomal RNA", at positions 355 to 848 of the family's 1533-position model. Lineage: Bacteria; Pseudomonadati; Acidobacteriota. The record is from RNAcentral.
UGGGGAAUUGUUCGCAAUGGGCGCAAGCCUGACGACGCAACGCCGCGUGGAGGUUGAAGGUCUUCGGAUUGUAAACUCCUGUUGCCCGGGACGAAAAGCUCCGACCUAACACGUUGGAGUCUGACGGUACCGGGUGAGGAAGCCCCGGCUAACUCUGUGCCAGCAGCCGCGGUAAUACAGAGGGGGCGAGCGUUGUUCGGAAUUACUGGGCGUAAAGGGCGCGUAGGUGGCCUGUUAAGUCGAACGUGAAAUCCCCGGGCUCAACCCGGGAACUGCGUCCGAGACUGGCAGGCUCGAAUCCGGGAGAGGGAUGUGGAAUUCCAGGUGUAGCGGUGAAAUGCGUAGAUAUCUGGAGGAACACCGGUGGCGAAGGCGGCAUCCUGGACCGGUAUUGACGCUGAGGCGCGAAAGCCAGGGGAGCAAACGGGAUUAGGUACCCCGGUAGUCCUGGCCCUAAACGAUGAAUGCGUUGGUGUGGCGGGUAUCGAUCCCUGCCGUGCCG